Long non-coding RNA from Xiphophorus hellerii (green swordtail), 1463 nucleotides. RefSeq lists it as uncharacterized. The transcript has 3 exons. The record is from RefSeq and is a predicted model, not a curated record. Lineage: Eukaryota; Metazoa; Chordata; Actinopteri; Cyprinodontiformes; Poeciliidae.
AGAUUGAAAUGAAAGCUCACCUGAAGUGCAGCGCAUUAGCUGGAAGUUGUCAGCAGAUCUGAUUGUGAUGGGCUCUCCGAGGUUUUGGAGUUUACACGUACUGGACAAACAGUGGUAUUGCCCCCCCUGAGGGCCCCCACACUUUGGGAACCAUUGCAGUAGAUGGUGCCUAGAGGCUGCACUACUUGGAGGGCUUGCCUGCUGAUUGGUGUCAGCGAACCUGUGUUCAAUCACCUCAUCAUCUAGGAGUAUAUGAGGAGUGGGCUGCCAGCACUUCAGCGCCUGAGUGUUUGCCAGUUACGGUGUUUCCUUGUGACGCCUUGGAUUUAACCACUGUGUAGCCCGAGUUCUUAGCUUUCUGGUUUACCUUCGUGACGCCGUGGAUUUUACCCACUGGUUGCCCGAUUCCCUCUCCACCUCUACUGAAGUGGAAUGAAGAAUUGAUAGUUAAUUAGUGAUCAUACUAUGGAAAUGACAAGAUCUGAACAAACAAGAAAGUUGACUACCCUAAGGGAUUUCGCACAUUGGAUAAUGACUUUCUUUAGCAGACUAAAUUUAACCUUACCAAAUUUUUGCCUUAGAGCAAACAGGUACUACAUUCAAAGCAUGAUGAAGACCAGCAAGCAAAACAUUCACUGAGUGGAUGUAGUAGAAUAUCGGAGUACAGGAGUACAGCAUAGAAGAUGUGACUGAGUCAAGACAUUGUCCACAAGUUCAGACUAGCAAAUUGUUAGCUAAGCAGGAAAAUAUGUUGUAUUUACUUAAAUUUAUGCAAACCAAUUGUCUCAAAAGAUUCAAUUACUGCAACAUAUUAAAGACACGUGAAGUUAAAUUGUAUGGUUUAAGUAUUGCAAUCCUAAAAUUUAAUUAUAUCGUUCAAUUUUGUUUUUGAAUGCCUUUUUAAAAUGUAUUUAGUUGUACAUAAGUUAUAUAGCAAAGAAUAUCUUGACAUUAAAAGACAUGUGAAUAAGCUAUUUGGUCAAGACUUUUCCAUGGAAAACAAUAUUUUAAACUCAUCCAAAAUAGUAUUCUCAGCAAAAUUUCUUUUUUUUCUGCCUACAACAGCAGGAAUAUAUUUAUUACAUACAGUAAAGAUACAUCAUGUCAUUAUUUGACAUAGUUGUACUGUUCAAAACCUUUUGGUCUGCUUGAGUAGAAAUGGCAUAGUGUUAAAAUGCUAAACUACAGACAAACAUCAGUUGUUCCUGUUAAUCUGGGGGCUGCAGAGGAAGAGAGCAGCAGAUCCAGUAGUGAUUGAUGAUUAGGAUUUGUGUUCAGUGUGAUAUUAUCUACCAACAAUAAUGUAGCUUAUUAGUAUGGUGUUACAUAAAACCCUAAAGAUAAAAUGUACUCUUCCAACUGUUGUGACUUAUAAAGCAACAGUGUUACUGGUUGCAGUCCGUGUUAUUCUUUCUUGUUAAAACUUUGACAUAAUAAAAGCUGGAGGAUGGUUUUGUUUCUGA